RNAcentral lists this long non-coding RNA (1504 nucleotides) under Calidris pygmaea (Spoon-billed sandpiper). RNAcentral's name for it is "lncRNA (ENSCPGG00000008397.1)". The record is from RNAcentral. Lineage: Eukaryota; Metazoa; Chordata; Aves; Charadriiformes; Scolopacidae.
GCCCCUUGAGCCAGCUGAUGGGGGGACCAGGAGCUCCCAGCAGUGCAGGUCCUGGCUCUCCCCCAAUCCUACAGCCCAGCUCUCCUUGCAGAGAUAACCCCCUUUGAUCCUGAGGAGGAUGAGCUAGAUGGCUGCGGGUCUGAGGCCGGCUUGGAUACGGUGACAGAGGAAUGGUGGGUCCCUGGGGAGGCUGGCAGGGGGAUGCGAGAGGGAAGGAGGGGUGCAGGAUGAGCUCCCCGACCAUGUUCUCAUAGGGCAGGAGCGCGGGUGCUCGGCUGGCUGGUGCAGGGCUUCGAGAGGAUCGUGCCGCAGCCAGAGAUGCUGAAAAAGCCGGAGCCGGAGCCGAAGGAGCAGAAAUGCGAAGCUGUGGCAGGAGGUGAGUGAUCCCCCUUCCCUGGGCGGCCCUUUCAGAGGGGACGCUCUGCUGCCAAGAAGCUGGGUGCCUGCAACGUUGGGGCUGACCUCUAUCCCUGUGCCCCGAGGUACUGACUGCCCAGAGAGGUGGGCAUGCCAGGUCCCGGCAUCACAGCACUGCCCCUACACCACGUCUGUCCCCAAGCCACCUGUGUCCUCAUCCCAGGCUGGGUCCCUGGGGGAGAAGUUGCCAGGGAGAUUCCCCAAGCCUGUCCCUCUGUGGGAAAUGACCCUUCCUCAUUUGCUUCCCUUCCCCAAAAAUGUAUAAGAUGAUCAGUGCGUUGCUUAUUCCCCUUCUCCUUCCAAAUAAAACUGAGCAGGCACAAAAGGGACUAAAACCCAGGCAAAGUCAAAAGGCAGCAUUUCAGCCACUCAGAGUAUCCCAGGAACAGUAGAGCCAGCAGUCGCCGAGAGGCAGCCAGAGCAGGUGGCCACCCUCAUCCCUCGGUCCCUGGCUGGGGACGGCAGCAGGUAACUGCAGUGGCAACUUCUGCCUGGGUACCGUGGCCAGAGGGACGACUGAUGUGGGAUCCAAGGCUCUGGCAGCCAGGUCUAACAGUGGUUUCUGGUCACUAGGAUGUUUGCCUGGUUCGUUCAGGGACUGGAGAAGGUGAUGCCACAGCCAGUGACCAGGGAGAAGCAGGACACACAGGGAGUGGCAGCAGCAACCUGGAGUCCUGUGGAAGAAAUUCGUAUUGUUCCUGGGGAAACUGAGGACACUGACCUCGUCCUGGAAGAAGUCAAUGAUGACUGGAUUAAUGAAGCCACAUGCGAGAUGAUGGCCUGGGGUCGUGAGGCUGAGCUGGUAGCAGAUGCUCAUCCCCUUCCCCCCAUACAGGAGGAACCUCAGGAAGAAGAAAACAGGUAGGAGAAGGAAGAUGCUGUUGAUGGACAGCUCUACGUGCCCUCUGACCACCAGCGUGGUGGCCAUGGGAGGGGAUGAGCAUAUCCCUGGGCAUUUCUCUUUGCCAGUGCUGGUGGUGGAGCUGGCACUGGGCAGCCAAGGUGCUUGUUUCCAAAGAGAGGGGCACCAAAAGGACCCAAAAGGUGUUUGAGCAAAACCAACCUUUUCUUCUGGUGUUGAGUGGCA